UUGCACAGGAGGGAAGGGUGGUGAGGGACUGGGUGGAAAGCAUUAACCCCCACACCCAUCCAAGCAGUCUUUGGGGAGGAAAUUCUAAUCCUGGAGGAAUUCUGAUUUUUUUCUUUCAGAAGUGAUGUCACUCACCAAAGUGCAGUAACUGCUGUCUUCUGGCCCUUGAUAAUAGGCAGGUUUUGGGACCAUCAAGCUUUGGGCAGCUUAACCCAAACCUAGGUUGGUCUCACCCACCUGCUUGUAAAGUUUGCUUUUCCAGCUACUCCCUGUCACUUCUCUUGUGACUAGCAUGUGGGACACGUACCCACAUGUCCCUGGCACUGCCUCGGUGAGGCUUGAUGGGGCUGGAAGUUGCAGGGCCAAAACUGAUAAAACUCCUUGGGAGCAAACUUCUGACUACUCUGAGACUUUCCACAGGUCCUGGCACCAGGAUCCCAGCAGGGUCCCCCACCCCCUGGGGAAAACAAGGCUCUGAAGUUGUAAUCUGACUUAAAAGCUCCCAGCAGGGAAUUAAUUCCCCUCCCAAGCAACAUUGUUCAAGAAGCUUGGGAUCUGACUCCUGAGGAAGUGUGGCAAAUUUCUCCUCUGAAUUUGUUGGGAUCAUCUUUUAACCCUGGCAUCUCAUCUUGCCUUUUUCGCCUCGAUUAAGGAGCUAUCUGCUAUCGAAGGUAUCGUCUUCAGGUAAUACCUUGUAGACCAUCAUCCCAUCAUCUCACAUCCUCCUCUUGGACAAAGAAAAAUACUCUGUUCAAUACAAAAGAUUUUCUCCUCGAAGAAAAUGGGCAGAAAAUGGUGAGACACUGGAAUGAGCCACACGAAAAUCUAGGAAGGUAAUACUGGUAAGAAAUGUCAUAAUGGAAUGGCUUUCCAUUCCAGGAUCUCGCAUUCCCACAUGUGAUUCCUCUUAUUUUUAUGUCCCUCAUUCACAAGACAUCCAAAUCAGUAGUGCAGGACUUUCUAGUGCCUGCAAAAUCUUGCAUGAUAUUAAAAUGCUAACCGUGUGCAAAUACCAUUAAUUACUAACUGAAGUAAUUUUUCUUCUGGGCUCUCAGAAAACCUUUCUAAUUCCAUUUUCUAGAUGAGUACUUCUUACAUGGGCACUGCAUAUCCACAACAGGAACACGCUGCGGUUGAGGCCAGCUCAAGCAUGGGCUGGGCAGAAAGGCUUAUGAUGGAGAACUUUGCUACAUCCAUGAUUUACCCCUCAUGCUGACAUGCCCUUCUCUACUUCCAACAGGACCCUGAAACCCAUCUCAUUCCUUCCUCCUGAAGAGGCAGCUGGCAAAAGUUGGGUUGAGGACAGAGAUGCACAUGUCAUAGAGCUAGUUUGCUCAGUGUUCUCUUCUCAGUGUUCCCUCCUAACUACAAUGGAAUGCUUACUGUAUCCCAGUCACAUCAAAAGGAUGCCACUUGGCAGGGAAACUACUGGGAGAAAGUGCAAGGAGAUGAAUAUGAAGAAGUGCCUAGUUUAGAAACACAGUUGCAAAGGCUAGUAAAUCCCUCUGAACUCUGCUCCAUUUCUGCUCUAUAUCCCAGUGUAAAACUGACUCUCAAAGCAAAGUCUGGUUCUCAAAGCAAAGAGCAGAGACAGACAGCAUGGCAGGAGAAAGACAGUCAAGCAAUGCAACUCUGAACAAUAUCUGUUCCAAGAGAAUUUUGCCCCCGUUACUAUCACUGGCAGACCUGUAAAGCACAGACAAGAAACAGCACUUAAGAAACUGGACUGUAGUGGAGCAGGUAUUUCAUCUGGCAUCAUUACAGGCAACAAAGGAAAACAAUCUGUUGAGUUCACUUCUGUUUGGAUUGGCCUGCUGCUGAAGAACUACUGCAAUUUAAGAAUAUCUGAGACAUGUGAAGUAUAUAAACAGAGAAAAUGCAGAUGAAAUAGUGAGUUGACAGAAAUCAAAAGCAAAGCUGGUCAUUUUAUUUCAUUCCAAGCAUAGUCUCUCUCCCACCCCAUUUCUUCAUUUCAUAGUGCAAUUUUUAUUUUUACUAGAUAAGAAUGAUUAAGCGCAAAUGCACAAAUAUAUUUCUAAAAUGUUGAAACCAAGGUUUAUGGAGACAAUUCCUUCAGGUAUAGAUGGACCUGUCUUCAACACCUGAAACAAGAGGUUGAACCUUCCUGAUGCUCAACAGCAGUCAGCACUGGGUGCCUCAUGUCCACGGCUGCCUCAGCAACAGGCAGCUCUACAACAGGGUGCAUUCACCAAAUGGAGGACACACAUCAAAAGCCUUGUCUUUAUUUUUCUCUUUUACAAAUUGUAAAGGCUCUUUCUCUCUUUCUCAAAUGGGCAGCUGAAGAAUGAAUCCGUGCCCCACUUUCAACAGUUUGCUUCUCAGAAGAACAAAGUAAAGAAAGAUAUUUAUAGCUCAAAUCUAAAGUAAACCAUACCUGAGAGGCCGGAUUAGACAAAAGUCCUUUUUUAUCUCAGGUUUUUGCUACAGAUUAGGGAAGAUUAAGACAGCAUCCUGUUCUCACUGUCGUCUGAAUGACUGCAGCAAAGUGGAAGUUUUAGCAGACUCCCAUUAACAUGAAAGGCCAGCAGUGCUUAAAGGUAGGCACAAAAGAAGUUUUUCUACCAGCCUGUGACACUUCCCAAGAGCUGACAACAGAGAGAGUUCAAAACAAGUAGUUUGGGUUAAUAGUGUACUUGCAUGUAAAUACAUAAAAGCUUCAGUGCCGUAAAGCUAAUUUAAAAAAGGACAUUUCUCUUUAUAGUUCCCCUGAGUAUAAUAGAAACUAUGAUAUUCUUUCUACCAUAAUGUACGUUUCAUUAAAGAGCUGGAGCUAUAAUUGUCUACAUCAGUACAUGGCAGCAGACUGGAUAAAUUGUCCACAUAAAUUGCUUAAUACAACUCGGAGCCCCGUUCCAGAGAGCUGGUGACUCCUACAACUGCAUCAAAGAGUCCUACCUGAGUUUAUGCCACUACCUGCAGCUCCACAGAGCAUCGGGCGGACCCAGAACGACCCCAAAACCCAUAAAACCACCUGGUGCUGAACUCCACAAACACCACAUUAAAUAUUUAAACGCAUUCACUCCCUUCCACAAUGGUCACGACUAUGCGCCAGUAAUAUUGAAGAUUUAUCUGAAAGUUAUGCAUAUGAAGUGAUAUGCAGGCUAUUAUCAUUCUUAAUAAAUCAAUAAAGUCAACCGAAAAAUUAAAGUGAGCAUGUUUGGAACAUUUGACAGCAAAUAAAUUUCGGUCUCUUAAGUGCGUCACUUUCAUUGCAAUUUACUGCCUAACCUACAAGAGGGUUAAAUCAGAAAAGUGAACAGAGCAAGAGAAGAGGUCUCAGAAAAGGAACUACAAUGCAUCGAAUUGCAAUUUACCAGUAAAUCAGCACGGCAGAAGGAAAUGUUUGUCCUAACAGGGCUGUUACAUUUUUUUUAAGCUAGUUUUGUCUUGAACUUCAAGCUAAUAUUCAUUAAAUUUUAGGACUGUACUAAAAUAUAAAAUAUACUACAAAUGUA
Pipra filicauda (Wire-tailed manakin) is the source of this 3476-nucleotide long non-coding RNA. RefSeq lists it as uncharacterized. The record is from RefSeq and is a predicted model, not a curated record. Lineage: Eukaryota; Metazoa; Chordata; Aves; Passeriformes; Pipridae. The transcript is spliced from 3 exons.